AUUGAACGCUGGCGGCAUGCCUUACACAUGCAAGUCGAACGGCAGCGGACCUUCGGGUGCCGGCGAGUGGCGAACGGGUGAGUAAUAUAUCGGAACGUACCUUCAGGUGGGGGAUAACGUAGCGAAAGUUACGCUAAUACCGCAUAUUCUGUGAGCAGGAAAGCAGGGGAUCGCAAGACCUUGCGCUGAUUGAGCGGCCGAUAUCAGAUUAGCUAGUUGGUGAGGUAAAGGCUCACCAAGGCGACGAUCUGUAGCGGGUCUGAGAGGAUGAUCCGCCACACUGGAACUGAGACACGGUCCAGACUCCUACGGGAGGCAGCAGUGGGGAAUAUUGGACAAUGGGCGCAAGCCUGAUCCAGCAAUGCCGCGUGUGUGAAGAAGGCCUGCGGGUUGUAAAGCACUUUCAGUGGGGAAGAACAGAUUCGGGUCAAUACCCCGGAGCCCUGACGUUACCCACAGAAGAAGCACCGGCUAACUCCGUG
This 482-nucleotide ribosomal RNA is filed under the name uncultured bacterium. RNAcentral describes it as "bacterial SSU rRNA". It matches the Rfam family "Bacterial small subunit ribosomal RNA", at positions 30 to 507 of the family's 1533-position model. The record is from RNAcentral.